Aedes albopictus (Asian tiger mosquito) is the source of this 74-nucleotide non-coding RNA. NCBI's taxonomy places the organism in Eukaryota, Metazoa, Arthropoda, Insecta, Diptera, Culicidae. The record is from Rfam.
UGUUCUGUGGUUUAAUUGGUUAAAGCGUCGGUCUAGCGAAUACUGAGUCGUGGGUUCAAAUCCCAUAAGAACGC